CGGAGCGUAGCAUAGUGGUUUAAUGCGCUGCCUUCGGGAGGCAGAGAACGUGGGUUCAAAUCCCACCGCUCCGA
RNAcentral lists this transfer RNA (74 nucleotides) under Parcubacteria group bacterium CG_4_9_14_0_2_um_filter_35_11. RNAcentral's name for it is "tRNA-Pro". It matches the Rfam family "tRNA". Rfam says of the family: Transfer RNA (tRNA) molecules are approximately 80 nucleotides in length. Their secondary structure includes four short double-helical elements and three loops (D, anti-codon, and T loops). Further hydrogen bonds mediate the characteristic L-shaped molecular structure. tRNAs have two regions of fundamental functional importance: the anti-codon, which is responsible for specific mRNA codon recognition, and the 3' end, to which the tRNAs corresponding amino acid is attached (by aminoacyl-tRNA synthetases). tRNAs cope with the degeneracy of the genetic code in two manners: having more than one tRNA (with a specific anti-codon) for a particular amino acid; and 'wobble' base-pairing, i.e. permitting non-standard base-pairing at the 3rd anti-codon position. RNAcentral also lists the same sequence under 1 other name. The record is from RNAcentral.